AAAGGAAUAGACGGGGGCCCGCACAAGCAGUGGAGUAUGUGGUUUAAUUCGAAGCAACGCGAAGAACCUUACCAGGGCUUGACAUAUACAGGAAUACUUAAGAAAUUAGGUAGUCUUUCGAGACUUGUAUACAGGUGGUGCAUGGUUGUCGUCAGCUCGUGUCGUGAGAUGUUGGGUUAAGUCCCGCAACGAGCGCAACCCCUAUUUCUAGUUGCCAGCACGUAAAGGUGGGAACUCUAGAGAGACUGCCGAUGAUGAAUCGGAGGAAGGUGGGGACGACGUCAAAUCAUCAUGCCCUUUAUGUCCUGGGCUACACACGUACUACAAUGGCCGUAACAGAGAGAAACGAAACAGCGAUGUGGAGUAAAACUUAAAAAAGCGGUCUCAGUUCGGAUUGAAGGCUGAAAUUCGCCUACAUGAAGUUGGAAUUGCUAGUAAUGGCAGGUCAGCAUACUGCCGUGAAUACGUUCCCGGGCCUUGUACACACCGCCCGU
This 494-nucleotide ribosomal RNA is filed under the name uncultured bacterium. RNAcentral describes it as "bacterial SSU rRNA". It matches the Rfam family "Bacterial small subunit ribosomal RNA", at positions 903 to 1397 of the family's 1533-position model. The record is from RNAcentral.